AUACGUAGGGGGCGAGCGUUGUCCGGCAUGAUUGGGCGUAAAGGGCGCGUAGGCGGCCCGGUAAGUCUGGAGUGAAAGUCCUGUUUUUAAGAUGGGAAUUGCUUUGGAUACUGUCGGGCUUGAGUGCAGGAGAGGUAAGUGGAAUUCCCAGUGUAGCGGUGAAAUGCGUAGAGAUUGGGAGGAACACCAGUGGCGAAGGCGACUUACAGGACUGUAACUGACGCUGAUGCUCGAAAGUGUGUGGUGCAAAAAGGAUUAGAUACCCUGGGAGUCCACAUUGUAAACGGUGAAUGCUAGGUGUAGGUGGUAUCGACCCCUUCUGUGCCGCAGUCAACACAAUAAGCAUUCCGCCUGGGGAGUACGGCCGUAAGGUUGAAACUCAAAGGAAUUGACGGGG
This 397-nucleotide ribosomal RNA is filed under the name uncultured bacterium. RNAcentral describes it as "partial 16S ribosomal RNA". It matches the Rfam family "Bacterial small subunit ribosomal RNA", at positions 523 to 918 of the family's 1533-position model. The record is from RNAcentral.